Regulatory RNA element from Johnsonella ignava ATCC 51276, 140 nucleotides. It matches the Rfam family "Ribosomal protein L10 leader". From Rfam's summary of the family: This family is a putative r-protein leader autoregulatory structure found in B. subtilis and other low-GC Gram-positive bacteria. It is located in the 5' untranslated regions of mRNAs encoding ribosomal proteins L10 and L12 (rplJ-rplL). NCBI's taxonomy places the organism in Bacteria, Bacillati, Bacillota, Clostridia, Lachnospirales, Lachnospiraceae. The record is from Rfam.
AAAUAAAGGUAUUGACUGCCUAAGACAGCAGGUGCCUCACGGGGCAUAAGUGUAAAGACCGCCUGCCGAGGAAGUAUAAUCGCUGCAAUGAUAUUAUGCUCCUUAUGCUUUAAAGGCAGAGGAGCUUUUUGUAUAAGCUU